GCCUCAUACAGGGGGAUAACAGUUAGAAAUGACUGCUAAUACCGCAUAAGCACACGUGAUCGCAUGAUCGAGUGUGAAAAACUCCGGUGGUAUGAGAUGGACCCGCGUCUGAUUAGCUAGUUGGUGGGGUAACGGCCCACCAAGGCGACGAUCAGUAGCCGGCCUGAGAGGGUGAACGGCCACAUUGGGACUGAGACACGGCCCAAACUCCUACGGGAGGCAGCAGUGGGGAAUAUUGCACAAUGGGGGAAACCCUGAUGCAGCGACGCCGCGUGAAGGAUGAAGUAUUUCGGUAUGUAAACUUCUAUCAGCAGGGAAGAAAAUGACGGUACCUGACUAAGAAGCCCCGGCUAACUACGUGCCAGCAGCCGCGGUAAUACGUAGGGGGCAAGCGUUAUCCGGAUUUACUGGGUGUAAAGGGAGCGUAGACGGCAGUGCAAGUCUGAAGUGAAAGCCCGGGGCUCAACCCCGGGACUGCUUUGGAAACUGUGCAGCUAGAGUGUCGGAGAGGCAAGCGGAAUUCCUAGUGUAGCGGUGAAAUGCGUAGAUAUUAGGAGGAACACCAGUGGCGAAGGCG
This 577-nucleotide ribosomal RNA is filed under the name uncultured Lachnospiraceae bacterium. RNAcentral's name for it is "bacterial SSU rRNA". It matches the Rfam family "Bacterial small subunit ribosomal RNA", at positions 128 to 723 of the family's 1533-position model. The record is from RNAcentral. Lineage: Bacteria; Bacillati; Bacillota; Clostridia; Lachnospirales; Lachnospiraceae.